RNAcentral lists this ribosomal RNA (253 nucleotides) under uncultured bacterium. Its description in RNAcentral is "partial 16S ribosomal RNA". It matches the Rfam family "Bacterial small subunit ribosomal RNA", at positions 524 to 776 of the family's 1533-position model. The record is from RNAcentral.
UACGUAGGGUGCAAGCGUUGUUCGGAAUGACUGGGCGUAAAGGGCGCGUAGGCGGGUCUGUAUGUCGAUUGUGAAAGCCCUGGGCUCAACCUGGGAAUUGCAGUCGAAACUGCAGAUCUUGAGUGCCUGAGAGGAUGGCGGAAUUCCCGGUGUAGAAGUGAAAUUCGUAGAUAUCGGGAAGAACACCUGAGGCGAAGGCGGCUAUCUGGCGGUGCACUGACGCUGAGGCGCGAAAGCGUGGGGAGCAAACAGG